AUUUAUUAGUACAAAACCAUUCUGCUUCGGCAGUUGUUUGUUGACUCUGGAUAACUCUACCUGAUCGCAUGGCCUUGCGCCAGCGACGUAUCUUUCAAGUGUCUGCCCUAUCAACUUUCGAUGGUAGGUUAUGUGCCUACCAUGGUUAUAACGGGUGACGGGGAAUCAGGGUUCGAUUCCGGAGAGGGAGCCUUAGAAAUGGCUGCUACAUCUAAGGAAGGCAGCAGGCGCGCAACUUACCCACUGUUAGUUCAGCGAGGUAGUGACGAUAAAUAACAAUACAGAACUCUUAUGAGGCUCUGUAAUUGGAAUGAGUACGAUUUAAAUCCUCUCAACGAGGAACGAUUGGAGGGCAAGUCUGGUGCCAGCAGCCGCGGUAAUUCCAGCUCCAAUAGCGUAUAUUAAAGUUGUUGCAGUUAAAAAGCUCGUAGUUGGAUCUCGGGUUGUGAAUGCAUGGUGUGGCAUUUUAGUUACUACUAUGCAUUCCGCCUUACUAGUCGUUAGCUAUUGCUGGUGCUCUUCACUGAGUUGCUAGCAAUGCACGGCAUGUUUACUUUGAAAAAAUUAGAGUGCUCA
RNAcentral lists this ribosomal RNA (576 nucleotides) under uncultured eukaryote. RNAcentral's name for it is "SSU rRNA". It matches the Rfam family "Eukaryotic small subunit ribosomal RNA", at positions 203 to 777 of the family's 1831-position model. The record is from RNAcentral.